RNAcentral lists this ribosomal RNA (513 nucleotides) under uncultured bacterium. RNAcentral describes it as "bacterial SSU rRNA". It matches the Rfam family "Bacterial small subunit ribosomal RNA", at positions 34 to 518 of the family's 1533-position model. The record is from RNAcentral.
CGCUGGCGGCGUGCCUAAUACAUGCAAGUCGAACGGUCUUUCUAUGGAAGCUUGCUUCCGCUGAGAAGAUAGUGGCGAACGGGUGAGUAACACGUGGGUAACCUGCCCAUAAGAGGGGGGAUAACAUCCGGAAACGGGUGCUAAUACCGCAUAGUUUUCUUGAUCGCAUGAUCGGGAAAGGAAAGACGGCCUUUGUGCUGUCGCUUAUGGAUGGACCCGCGGCGUAUUAGUUAGUUGGUGAGGUAACGGCUCACCAAGACGAUGAUACGUAGCCGACCUGAGAGGGUGAUCGGCCACAUUGGGACUGAGACACGGCCCAAACUCCUACGGGAGGCAGCAGUAGGGAAUCUUCCGCAAUGGACGAAAGUCUGACGGAGCAACGCCGCGUGAGUGAAGAAAAGGUUUUCGGAUCGUAAAACUCUGUUGUCAGAGAAGAACAAGUUGGAGAGUAACUGCUCCAGCCUUGACGGUAUCUGACCAGAAAGCCACGGCUAACUACGUGCCAGCCGCCGC